RNAcentral lists this ribosomal RNA (406 nucleotides) under uncultured rumen bacterium. Its description in RNAcentral is "bacterial SSU rRNA". It matches the Rfam family "Bacterial small subunit ribosomal RNA", at positions 510 to 916 of the family's 1533-position model. The record is from RNAcentral.
AGCAGCCGCGGUAAUACGUAGGGAGCGAGCGUUAUCCGGAUUUACUGGGUGUAAAGGGUGCGUAGGCGGUUUGUUAAGUCAGAAGUGAAAUUUAGGGGCUCAACCUCUAAGCUGCUUCUGAAACUGAUGAACUAGAGUGUGGGAGAGGAAAGUGGAAUUCCGAGUGUAGCGGUGAAAUGCGUAGAGAUUCGGAGGAACACCAGUAGCGAAGGCGGCUUUCUGGACCAUAACUGACGCUGAGGCACGAAAGCGUGGGGAGCAAAUAGGAUUAGAUACCCUGGUAGUCCACGCUGUAAACGAUGAAUGCUAGGUGUCGGGGCUUACGGGUCUCGGUGCCGAAGUUAACACAUUAAGCAUUCCACCUGGGAAGUACGAUCGCAAGAUUGAAACUCAAAGAAAUUGACGG